UUUUUUUUUUUUUUUUUUUUGUACCAAAAAUUGUCUUGCAAUAGACAUAUUCCAUGGGGAAGAAAACCCAAGCUGCACAUUACUAGAGUUACUUGGGUAUAACACAGUGCAAGAAUUAACUUAUGUGCUAGUUAGUGCCAGAAUCGGACUAGUUAGUUUCCAAUCACCGCUUUCUCUUUCUUUUGGAAUUCUUGUCUAAGUCAACCUCAGCAGGCUUUGAUGAUAAAGCUUUUGACUUGGCAGCUACAGAAGCACUCCACAAAGCCCUCUCAACAUCUGAUGGUGUGAAUAGGUCCUCCUCGCUCGAAAGUUCCAUUGCCUUGGCUUGUAACUUCUCCACAAAAACUAGAUAACUCUUCAAUGUAUAGUCCUUCGUGUUACCAAUUGCUGCUUCCAUCGCCUCGUCGGACAUGAAUGGAGUAAUAUGAGGAGCAUAGGCAGCGAGAAUAGCGGAGGCAGUGGCGGGGCCCACGCCUUUCAAGACGGUGAGCUCCUUAACAGCUUUAGAAACGUCCGGCAACGACUCGAACGCUUUUCGCGAGGCUGAUUUGACAACGUCGUCGUUCAGCGAAGAAACGAAGUCCAGCAGCCUGGGCCUCCAUUUGCCCCUGCUCAGCUUCCACUGCAUUAAUUUUGAGAGUUCAUCAGUCGUUAUAUAUGGAGUAGGGUUCCUCUGCUUUACCAGUACCGGAAGCUCGUUCCUGUAGAAAUCGUCGAGGGAAAUAAGGUUUGGUUUGUUUAAGGAUUCGAUGCUGGACUUGUAGGACGACAGAGCCGCCUUCCAUGAGCUUAUGUCCGAGCAUUUCAACUCCAUGGCUGCCAUCACUCUGCAACCUUUUUUCUUUUUUUUUUUUACGCCAUUUCAAUUCACAGUUUUUGACUCUAACAAUACAUUACUCUGUCAUAUUCCCUAAACUUGUAUACAAUUGGUAAUAAUUUUUGCACCUUCCAUUAUGUGAAGGACAUAGAAACCGGCAAUUGUGGUUUAUAUACAGUAAAAUUUAAGCAAAACAAGUUUUGGCAUAAGGAUUUUGAUACAAAAACAAGCACAUGACAUUUUCACCAUGUAUAAACUCUAAUAUUUUUUUACACCAUACACCAAAAACUACUUCACAGAAAAUGGAGUUUACUCAGGGAGAACAAUCUUGUAGGUCUUUGAGCAUCUUGGAAGCAUUAACAAUUUCCUCCAUUUAGAAUAUAACCAAUGUUCAGUGGAUGCGUUAUCCUCUCAAAACCUAAAACUUAUUUCUUUGAGAACUGCUUCAUGUUGUAAAAGAUACUCGAUGAUAUAAACUGAGUUCGACAACCAGAACAAUCAACAGUUUCAACUUUAUUUAGCAUCUGAGCGAGACAUGAACGAGGUAAAGUUCGGCUCCCUGCUGAAAACUUCGUAUGCACCAAAUUUUCAAAUCAUAGGGUAUCUUCAUAGAUGAAGGUAAAAUCAUCAAUAGGGUGAAAUUCUAUAAUGUUCUCUGCUGUGACUAGAGACUCUUAAAUUUUUUAGUGCGUGUUCAUCAAGAGAUUCAAUCAUCAAGUAUCGAAGAUUUGGGUUAUCAAUCAUAAUUUUGUGAAUGUCAUUAUAGGAUAAUGUCAUUCUUCUAAGGGAAUUCAUGGAGAGAUCUAGAAUUUGACCUUCUUCUGGGUAGCACUAAGACAAAUUUAAAUCUUCAAGUGACUCACAGCCCAUAAAGAACUUUGCAACUCUUUCCCCACCUAUUGAGAAAUAUUUGGAGUUUAUAACUCGUUUUUUCUAACUUAUGUAAUCCCUUAUUUGUAACACUUUUUGGCGCAACAUGCUACUUCAUUAGAAAUCUUGUACUAACUUUUGAUUAUAUUUCUAGAGCAAGUGGGUAAAUAUAAGCAAAAGUAAUACUUGCCCUGCAGCUAUAGGUGCUUGAUUUUCGUACACCAGCUUGGAUAGUUCGUCCUCCCCCAUCAGUUGGCUUAAGUUCCAUGUUGUGUUUUUAGCUAGUAUGCACUUAACGGGAGCUGACUUGGUUCAAGACUUUGUUGACUCUAUUUCCAUGAAACUGAUAGUAACACACUUCCUCAAUAGUCAUACUUCUUCUCUUUCUAUUUUUUUGUCCCUUCUCUUCAUCCUCUUUGCCCCUUGCCCCCUUCCCCACUUUCCCCCUUGCCCCCUUGCCCCCUUCCCCACUUUCCCACGCCCCUCCCCAAAAAAUAUGUAAAAGGGUUGUUCAAUUAAAACGUAGAAUAUUGGAAUUUCACACCAAUAUUUUAUAGCAGCUUUGGUGCACUGGAACCAAGAAACUGACUGAGUUAACAUUGUUGACUCAUUGGCCUCAUAGCAAGUGGAAAAGGUUAACUGAGGGCAAGAGUCCAAUGAAAAGGUUAACAUUGUACUCAUUGGCGUUGAUAAUGGCCCAGCGGCGUAAACCCAAACGAAACAAGUAGUUAUCUUGAUGAGCAAGUGCUAUGAAAGAAUGGACUUGUUCUUCAUCUAUUGGUUUCAAAUUUCUAUUGUGAAUAGGAAAGGAAAUCUCUGUUCUGGUUUACUAGAUUCUUUAAAGUUUAUGAGGCUAGAUAAAUAUGGUUAAACUGCAUCUGUAUUAACUUUCUAAAUGUUGGUCUGUUGUAGUAAUAGCACUGUAAGUACUGACUGUGUAUUACACUAAGUUUUGCUGCCAAACCAUUAAAUGAAGAUUUUAGACUUGGAAGCAAACAAUUUGAUUCUCAUCUGUUCCAGUUUUCCUGAUGCGGCCUAAGGCUGAAAUUGAUAUUAAGGAUUAGGAUUCAGUCUGAAUGAACUUGAUUGUACAUGAAAGCCACAAGGGGGAACCUGAUUCUACAAACUUUUAAUGCUUCUUAAGUGGUUGCCUUAAAGCAUCAGUUUAUAGUGAACUCAUACAAAAUCUUAGAUUGUUCAAUCAAAAAGCAAUGCAAGUAUACUACAUGAUUUGUAGUUUGCCAGUUCAUCACAUCCGAACUCUUCUACUUUAUUUGUUGAAGUUUGUAAUUUGAAUUUGCAGUCUCCAAGUAUUGUGGUCCUGGAUGUUUGUACCAUAAACUUCUUCUGUAAGAUUCAGUGCCAAAACUUCUCUUUGGGUGUUUGUUAUAUUUUUAUAAGAAAGAAAGGAAAUGGGAAGCAAUUUGAAAAAUCUCAAUCAAGUACUCAGUCACCGGAAAAACUUUGAGGCUAUGUUGCAUGGACUAAGGCAAUGGAUAAAGCCUUGGCUUAGGUCUUGCUUGACCAGAUGGCUAAAGGGAAUAAGAGUGAUGGCAAUUCUUGCAAGCCUCUAGUUUUACAAACUGCACUUGAGUAAAUGAACUCUGAAUUGGGUCUUGAAUUGACAAAAGAAAACAUAAAGAGUCACCUCAAACUGUGGAAAAGGUACCAUGCGGUGGUUACAGAUGCAAUCAAGACACAAAGUGGAUUCAAGUGGGAUGAAGAAUGAAAGAUGAUUGUUGUGACAGCAAAAGAUGUAAAUGAAUGGAAAGUUUAUGUUAAGGUACAAAACAAGCAGUCAUUUAUCUUGUGUUGCUGCCUAGUUUAUAUGAUGAAUUAAUCCACUUAUUUUCAUGCAGUCUAAUCCUGAUGCUAUGGGAAUGCAAAACAAAGUAGUUGACAAUUGGAAAGAUAUUGUUCUGUUGUGUGGGAAAGAUAGUCACUUGUGAAGGUGUUGAAACCUUUGAUGAGGGAGUUGAAGCAAUGGCAGAAGAAGAGUAAAACAAAGCAAACAGUUUAGGAAAUAUCAAAGGACACUAAUUACAGCCCUAGAAUUCUCUGGAUGUUCAGUAAAGCAAAAUCCAGAGCAGAAAAAAUAAAUACAUCACCAUAAUGGACCAUUUCACUCCAUAAGUUCAAUUAAACAGAGUCUUAUAUUUUAACCGCCACGAGGACUUCACUUUCUUCUUCUUCCCAACUGGAAGAGCCAUUUCUUUGAUCUUUUGAUACUAGGUAAGGCAUUGUUUCUUUUAUUUGUGGGUAGUAGCUAAGAGAAGCUAAAUCUUUGUCUCAAAUUUCUGUGAAAAGUAAUUUUGCCUCUGAAAACAGAGUUUGCCAAAUUCCUCCUCCGAAACAUAUCAAACUGUUCAUCAAGGAGAGGAAUGCCUCCCGUCUUUGCGAACAUCUUGAUGACUAACCCCUCUAACUAUUAUUGUUAUCAUUAUACAAAUAUAUCAAAAGAAGCAAUUUUACUUGACACAAGGAAGCGUUCAACUUUUCCAUAGAGCAGAAGAUCUAUCUGACAUUAACUAAAUGUCAGCACCAAUCUGGAUAUAAAAAAUGCGAAGUUCAAGAACAAAAGGUAAUUGUCAAACUUAGAGUAGUCUCAAAGAACACAAGCCCCUUGUAGGUGUUUUAGACUACAUAGAUUUGCAUAAAUGGAACAAAGCAUUGUCCACUUCGAUGUUUCGGAACAGAAUUGCAAAAGCACUCAGCAGUGAAGAAUCGUACAGGCCACUAAUGUCUGCAAAUGAGCAUAGGCGGCAAUAAUGUACCAAACAACAAACAACAAUUAGGAAACCAUAUAUGAACUGGCACUGACUAAUAUUUUUAGAUUUGAUCUUGCAAAGUAUGGGUAGAGUUCAAUAUUUCUUUACUGAAUCCAAUCUCAUGAUCACCUAAUUGCAGGAAGAAAAGAACCACAGCAAUAAUGUUAAAGAAGAAGUUAACGUAGCAUCUACAGAUAUUCAGAGAACGAGUUAAUGAUUUUGGCAUCCAGUACAUUAUCAACGCCCGCAAAAAGGGCAAAAGUAAUUAACUCUGCUUUUAAAUGGACCAAAAUACCACAAUACUUUAUAUGUCAAACCACGAAAACCCAAUAGUUCAGAAGAUUGCGCUCACAGGAAGGAAUCUGUAGAAUGAAACAUUAAAGUCCAGAAUCUGGAAUCAUACAGAAGAAAACAGCGCCAACAUCUUUUGGAUCCAGAAGUAGCGAAUUUGAUAUUUUGUGUUUCUUUGAGCAUCUAAAGCACAAAAGUUUCCUCCAUACGCUUAAUGAAGCACAACCUCACAGUUUUUGAAGCUCCUCCUCGACUUUGAUAACUUCUCGUUAACGAAUGAUUGCCUUUUUCCCGAAAUUCACCUUCAUAAGCAUAUAUAGACAUCUUCUGCAACACACUCCCAUGCUUCAGAAAAUAUCUUACUAUCUGAAACUCGUAUUUUCUCCCACUGAAAUUUUUUAUUUUAACUUCUGUAAGAUGCUCAUCCAAACACCAAGGUUUGUCUUUAGCACUAUUCUGUAGGAGUAUAUUGCCGUCAAUUUCCUAUCCGCACUGAUCAAAAGACAAAAGCGAAACCUUGACAUUAGAUUAAAUAAUUUUAUCUCUACCUAUUUUUAAAAGGAGAAAGGCAAAACUCAUUUGGUCCACUCCGUUCAAAUCACCCAAGUUCAAAGGCCAACUCACCAUGUCACAGACAAGCACUUCCAAUUUUCAACGCGGCAUGCCAAUAGUUCCAAGUGUGUCAAAUUUAGAAGUUCAGGUAGCAGAUGAUUUGCCUCAUUGAGACACUUCAAAUAACAUAAAGUGCAACAGUUAUUCAAAUGGAAGCAAAAUAUGUACUGUAAGCCCAAAAAUCAAGAAAAGGUCACUAAACUACAGAUAUUCACAAUUAAAAGAAAUUUACCUCUAUAAUAUAGCCCCACUAACGGAGAAUCUUUACAUUGGACAUUUCAUCAAUGAGCUGGUGAAACUGAUAAGCCUCAGUCAAAGAAAUAAAACAUAGAUCAGCUCCAAUAAAAGAUUUCAACUUGCAAGUUGAGCCAACUAGUGGGCAUGAAACAUUCCAGAUGCUCAAGAUAAUCACAUUCCAGACACUCAAGAUUCGGGGUGUUAAGAACAACCCGAUCCCCUCCAAUAGGAACAUUCCAAACCAACUUUUUUAGCAAAGGAAUCGAAAUAUCAACUAAUUCAAUAUCAAGAUGAUUGACAUUAGAAACCCGGAAAUCCCCAAGCAAUGGAUAUCUCACAGCGACUUCCCAACGUCGAGUAUUACUGAGCAGUCUCACCUCUCUUGCUAAACUCAAUACGUUCAGACGUGGAAGCACGAUCGUUCCAAUUCUGGAACCCUGAGGAUAAACUCUCACGUAAUUUCAAUACUACAAGCGAUUUGCGUCCAAAUAUAUCAGGUGGGAUGGAUUUUAAGCUCUCACAGUAGCAAACUCGUUCAACGCAAAUGUCAACAACUUCAACUUUGCUACAGAGUGGAGAAGAUAUCCACACCUUAAUUAGAUCCAUUUUCCCAUGUCAUAGCUCUAAUAAUCUAAGCCGAAAUUCUUUUAUGGAAGUUUUAUGAGUUUAUCAAGUCUCGCAGCCAAACAACGGAUUCCCGCCUCGAACAUCAAUUCAUCUUUUUUGUUAACACCAUGUCUGCCUUUUAGGUCAGGAUUUUUGAAAACCAGUGGCUCGUCAAAGUCAAUCUUGGGAACGUCUAAGAAAAGAUACCUCCACCUGGUGGAAAGGACGGAAGUCACCGCAGCAAAUUUUGUCCGGAGGAACGAGAGUAUGUGGUGGAUGAUGGCGUCAGGCAGAUCGCUGAGUUGAUCUUCUAUGGGAACUCCUGCACUACUAGUUUCCUCAGACAUGGUUAGUUUUGAGAUGGGCUGUCAACCCUUUGCCUGGGAACUAUGCCCUGCUGAGUAUUUCAAUCAUGGCUGCCUUUGAUAUGGGUUGUGAUCACAGGAAGGACUCCGGCCCUAGUGGAUGUAAGUUCCCCACUCAUGGCUUGGCUGUAAGCAUGUCAAUGGGUUGCGUUUGGAUUGAAUUCUUUUAAUUCAGAUGUAAAUCUAUUAAAUUUUGUUAGACCUAGAUCUUUGGAGAAAUUUCUAAUUUUGUGAUGAAUUUUAAAAAAAUUCUACAAAAGGGGUGAUUUUGAUUGGGUAUUCCGUAGGGGGGGUCUUCGCAUUUUGCGAAUGCGAGCUCUGCUGAGCUCGCAUUCGCAAAAUGCGAGCUCUGCUUAUUGAGCUCGCAUUCCACGAAUGCGAGCUCAAUAGAGCUCACCCUGAUAUAUAUAUAUAUAUAUAUUUUUUUUUGGGCUCUCAUUAAAUUUUUUCCAGAAAAUAGUAAGAGCUAAAUAAAAUUUUUCAAAUAGCUCGCAUUUGAUAAAUUUGACCUCUAAAAAUUGUAUUUAAUUUUUUUGUUAGAUUUCGCAUUUAUAAGUAUGACUUUCAGAAAAUUAAAUUCAAACUUGCUAGAAAAAAAAUUUAAAAUGAAAUUUACGAGCUCCCACCAAAAUGUAUCUUUUUCAGAAAAUGUUGUUUGUUUUGUAGAAUUUGCCUUUACUAAAAUGCUGUCGGUAGUAAAAUCUUAUUUUAAAAGCUCUACUAAAAUCUUAUAUUUCGGAGAAAUGUUAAAGAAAUGUUAUUUAAAAUCUGUAAUUAGCAGAGGAAUAAAUUUUUUUAUUUUAAAACUUGCACGUGCCUAAAGUCAUCAAAUAUGUGUUCUAAAAAAAAUCAUAUUUCUUUUAUAUUAAAAAAAAUUGGUAAUUGUACGGUUGAAAAUACGUUAUUUUAUUAUAAUACAUUUAAAUGGUGGAAAAAGUACACAUGCAUAGUUCUUUCUAUUUCAUAUAUCAAUGAAAAAAUAGAAUGAAAUUGUUAACAUGUAAGGUAUUGACUAUAUUUUAUGAAUAAAAUACUAACUUUUUUUCCUUUUUUAUCAAAUAAAUUUUUUUUAUCAAAUUCUAAUUUUCCUUUGUUAUUAAUGAAUCGUAUUUAUUUGUUGACACCGACGAAUUUUAGUUAUAAGAAUCUAAUAGUUAAUAGUCAUUAAUAUCUGUUACAAUUUCAACUGUAAUUUUAGAAAUUUCAUAACGCAAUGUUAUUUAAAAAAAUUAUAUAAGUUAUUUUUAUGAAGUGCAUGUUAUUUGUUUUCUUUGUUUUGCUGUUCGACAAUUCCGAAAUCUUUGUUUUGAUGUUCGGCAGCUAUGUUUCGAUAUUGCGUUCUGCUUCUCCCACUCACUUUUGUCUUUUUUUUUUUCGAAAUGGGUCUUGGCGGUAUGUAGUGCGAGAAUGCGAGCUCAAUGCGAGCUCAGUGAGCUCGCAUUUUCAGAAUGCGAGCUCAAUGUGAGCUCGCAUUCCCGGAAUGCGAGCUCAGUGAGCUCGCAUUUCCAGAAUGCGAAGACCCUCUUUUGUGGAAACAAACCCAAGAACCGCCCUCGUUGUAGAAUUCUUUUUUUUUUCCAUCAUAAACUGAGAAUUCACCCUAGAUCUUUGUGGGUCUGAAAAAAAUAAGUUCAAACCCAAAUCCUUCUGGAUCUGGUAUCCGGUAAGUAUAGGUUCUAUUUUUUUACACACACUAAAGUAAAAAUAUAUAGAUUUGAAAAAAAUAUAAACACCAUCCAAUUUUUAUUUUCAAAUAAUAAAAUUAAUAUUCAAGAAGUUGAAUGAAUAUACGACUACUUCUAUUUAUUUUUAAAACUCCUACUAUAUCUACGUCCAAUCUUUCAUUUAUUUGCCUUUACUUUUUCUUGUUUUCCUGAAAUAGUUUGUACUAAUUACAAUGAUAACUAGGAUUAGUUUGAAAAAAAAUAAUUAUGAAGUCUUAUUGUAUUCGAUCCAAUGACCAUAUAAUAUUAGAAUAUUUUAUAAAUUUACUAAUAUAUAUAUAUAUUUUUAAUUAUAUAUAUAUGGGUCUGAAUAGAGUCUGGUAUGGGUUUGAAUUUGAAUAUGGGUCAUAAAAAAUCAGAUCCUACCUAGCCCCACAACCUUGUUAUAGGAUUUGGGUCUAGAUUUGAGAAAUUAAAUCCAAAUCCUACCCAAGUAUCUUGAAUCUGGGUUGGAUUUGGGUAAGAUCCGAUACAUUGACAUGCCCACUUAGCUGCUUUUGAGAUGGGUUUCUUUCAGCCAAAGAUGCCUUAAAUAAUUAGGCGCUAUUAUUUACUUACUUUAUCCCAAAACUAAUGAUGAAAUGUAACAUAGUUUGUUGAUUAUUUUUUUAGGGUCCAUUUGGGUGCUAAAAAUAAUUUUGAGCCUUUUGAUAAAUAUCGUCCCAUAAAAUUAGAAACGAAACUUUUUCAGUUAAAAGCACUUUUAGUAAAAGAUCAAAUUUGAUGCUUUUAGAAUAACUUUUGUAUUUGAAGAAAUAAAACGUUAAAUUUAAUCAUGUUAUCCUAAAUUAUAAAUUAUGAAUUCAAUAAAGAGAUAAAUGCAUUUAAAAAUUUUCAAAUUGCACAUUAUCAAACACAAUAAGUAUUUAUUGAACUAUAUAUCCAAAUAAUAUAUUUAAAAGCAUUUAAGCACUUUUAUUAAAACUUCUAUUAUGUGAAGUAUUUUUUUGAUAAGCUAUUGCAAUCGUAAAUGGGUGAUUAGUUACAUUAUCCACAAAACUAAUUGUCAAAUGUAAUGUAGUUUGUUAACUCAAGUGAGAAAACAUGUUUCGCCCUUAGAAUUGUUAUCAGUUUACUCCAAUAAACUAUAACAUUAUUUUCAAUUUAUCUCCUAAUAUUAUUUUUUAGGCACCACUGAUGAAAUUAAUUUAGCAUAUUGCAAAAUUUUAGAUGAAGUUAGCUUCCUCUCUUACAAUUAAAAGAAAAUGAGAUACCAAAUUCAAAAAUCAACAAGUGCUCUUAUCUCUUUUUUUUUCACUCUUUUUAGUUACCAAAAAGAAAAUGAGAUAGAGGAAAGAGUAAGAACUUAAUUCUAAGAAAGAAAAUGAGAAAAAUUCAAUAUUCUCAUUAUUUUAAAAUCACUCCUCACUCUUCUACCUUCCACCAAAUUCCAACUCCGAUGACUUUAAAACGGUCAAAAUAUUAGAUUCUUCUUUAUUUUUUCUUCUUUUCAAAUUUGAGUUUUUGGUGGUCUCUCUCUCUCUCUCUCUCUCUCUCUCUCUCUCUCUCUCUCUCUCUCUCUUCCAUAUCUUUUUCUUUUUCUUUUUCUUUUUCUUUGUAUUAGUGGGAAUGAAAAAAAGAAGAAAAAACCCUUUUGCUUUUACUUUCUUGGUACUCUUAGUAUAAAAAAAAAAAGAAGAAUAAAACCAUUCUAACUUUUUAUUGUUUAAUUAUACAAAACAGAAGGAUGUUUCCAUUUAAAAUAUUUAAUAUGUUGAAUUGGCUUAGCAGUAGUAGAAAAUGCCUAAAAUAUAACAUUAGAAAAUAAACUAAUAGUAGCACUAUAAUUUAAGGGGUAAAGUGAUAAUAACACUAUACUAGUACCAUUAGAGAGAAGGAUAUUUUUGUUCAAAAUUUUACGUAAAAUGACAAGAAAAAUAACGUUAACAAGUAAAAUGAUAGUGGUGCUAUAGUUUAAAGGAAUAACAUAAUAAUAACCCCUACAUAAUGCAGAGGAACUGUUGCAAUGCAGUCGAAAGUUUUCAAAUAGGUGUUACAAUCUAUGGCACCAUCACACUCCCAAGAAAUAAACUAUCAACCAAUGUUCAGGAAAACACAAAACUGAAAAAUAUUGAUUAAGACUCCUUCAAAUCCAUGCAUAAGUAACGGGUAAAAAUUUGCUUUCAAAUGAAGGUUGACAUCCGUGCACAAGCAAGCACAUCGAGACAUUAUCCAAUUAAGUUAUUGUAGUUCAACUGAAAUUUAUUGUAAAGGAAUUUUAAAAUUAACUUGUUAGUGAAUUCAACAAUCAAAAAACACAGCAAUCAGCAGCCUAGCAUAAUUCUCCAGUCACUUGAACUUUGACACAUCCAGUCUAUUGCCCAUCAAUUUCUUAAGUUAGCCACCUGAUCAUUAACCCUGCAAUUGAAUGUGUAAAUACUUGAAUUACACUGGACGGAUCAUUGCUAAAGUUUCGUUAUCACUAUCUUGUGCCUUCCUAAUGCUACCAUCACCUCCGCAGUCUCAUCCAAAAUGGUUAAACCAAUUCUACCCUGCCCUUUUUUUUCCCACGUUCCAUCCAUAUUGAUCUUCAAAGCAUCAACGGGUGAUUUGUUCUGCUUGACAGGUGCCGAGCCUGUGCAAUAAUAAAUACCUACUCGAGAAAAAUAAAUUUUCUGUGUAUAGUAGUGAGUAGGGUCAAAUCCACAGGGACUGGAAAAAAUUCGAUUCUUUUCAAGUUCGGGACACGGGGGGUUUUAUCAAGAUGAAAUUAAAAAUAAAUAAUUAAACAAUUUAACUAAAAAUAAUUAACCAAAAUAAAUAAUUAAUUAAUACAAUUGUAAAUAGCAAUUAAAUAAAUGAUAAAUAAAUUCUAGCCAAGGAUACAACUACGCAGGCACAGUCCAUUCAUCCGAUCAUUGAUGCAAAGAAGGUUCACUUAAUUUUAUUAACAGGUUAGUUAUAGUCGCCGAUAAACUCUAACAACCAGCUUUUCCAUAAUUUAUUGAUAACCAAGGUACGACCGCUGAUUACCCCUAACCAGGAAAUACUCCUAGGUACGACCGUAGGAACUAAUUUCCUAAUUGCAUUAAAAACUAGAAAAGCCUAACCCAAAUUAAUAACACGCUACGAGGGUUAUUUAAAUCAGAUUGCAUGUCCCCCUAAUAUGUGAAAAUACUAGUUGUCACUAAUAUUAACCAACUAAAUAAUUACGGAUUCAAUUGAUUAAUUUGACAGGAGAUUAAUAAGUCAAAUUGCACAUCGGGCCCUUGAUAUCCAAUAAUUGUAUAGAGUUUCACAAUAAUCUUCUCAAGAAGGUUUCUGCUCCACUUUCUGAAAGUAUAUCCAAAUAUCAAAUAUAAAUAUAUAUUGACAAUUAAAGCAAUAUUUGGCAAGGAUAAAGAGGAGAAUUAACAAUAAAAUUACUAACAAUUAACACCCUAUCAAUUCCCCCCACACUUAAAUCAUGCUUGUCCUCAAGCAUGGGAACACUAAACUCAACAAUGGCUAACUCUCAUUUCAUUUACUGCCAAGCUACGCUUAUCCCAAAAUCAAGUUUUAGUGGUUAAGUGUCAAGACAUAUUUCUCCCGGUUAGCUCCUGAAAUCAUAGACUCGUCCAAUUCAUGGCUAAGUCGUCUAAGAAAUCAAAAUAUUAAACUAGCAAAAGUUAGCAAUUGGGUCAAUUGAAAAUCAAAAUCUCAACAUUGAAGAACAAGGAUCGGCAGGCCAACAUGAUCAUAAACUUACUUAUUAUUUUCUUUUCUCUUUUUUUUUUUUUCAAUAAAUGCUCAGUCCCAAGCUAUUCAAGUCUUUUGACGUGAACUCUGACAUUUUUAGAUGAAAGAGCCCAGUUACUCAACUCUUCACAGCUUCAGGACUAACUACUCAUAUAUAUAGUCACUUUUUGACGCGAAAGUCGACACUUGUGGUGAAGACUCCCGGUUACUGGGUGACGACACUAGCGGAGUAGGGUCAUUUAUUACUCACAAUUAAAGCACCAGAAAACCAGAUAAUUAAAGAUCAUGGCCCACGUCAUCUCCUAAUAUGGAGAACUAAGAUCAACAAUUGCCUAAUCCACACAACAAUUGCUAGGAAAAUAUUUAUAUUGCCUAAACAAUUUAACCACAAUUUGCACCAAGUCAUUAAACUCAUGAUAUUCACCAAGAUAACAUGCUUUUACUUGCCACUUAAACUAAAUUCAUAGAAUAAAUCAUAACCAGCAAUAGACGAGUGAGAUGCCACAUUUAUUCAUCAAAACACUAGUAAGAAAGGCAGCAAAUUAAAGAAACACCAAUCAAAACUAAACCCAAAUCCCCCCCACACUUGAAUCACACAUUGCCCUCAAUGUGAUAAUGAAACAGUAAAAAUAAGAAGAAGGACAACGAAACUCCCCUGAAGCUGGUGCCAGCUAUUAGCACCUGUAGUUGGAGGAGGUGAAGCGGAGGUCAAAGGGUCGGGAUCGUGGUUUCACCAUUCUUUCCAAAUUGCACUCCAAACCACAAUAGACAACAGUUGCUAACGAAUAAUGGAAACAAGAAAUUCAAAGCACUAACAAAUGAAAAAUCAAGUCAAUGAACAAAAUGCACACUGCAUUCACUCGCAAGUUAUACAGAUAUUUCAACACUUAUAACAAAUGCAAUCAAUAAACACUUGUGGUUCCAAACUUAGCCAAAUGUAAUAAUAAUGCACCUCAAAAUCACCCCAAUCAAUGUAGUAAUUGAAAUGCAAACAGACAAAAGGCUCUCAUAUAAGGCAAUUGAAGGCAAUGUACUUCAAUAAGUAAAUUUAAGUGUUAAAGGCACCUCCCAAUUGAACAAACAACUGUAGCAAAUUACCCACAGUUAGACACAAAGUACAGCAGAAUAAGUAAAUCACACGACUAACCACAAGUCAAUCUACUAAAUAAAUAAAAAUCAAGCAAAGUGAAAAGAAACAAGCAAAGUAACACAGAAGUACCCAACUAAGGAGGAAUAGAAAUGUCAGGUAGUCCAAACACGCAAAAUUUUCAAAAACGUACUGUAAUAAAAAUAAUAAAAACAUACUGCAAUAAUAAAAUAAGAAAAUGAAAAAAAAUAAUAGAAAGAGAUUGAGGCAGGCGCGUGCAUACGAAGCCAGUGGUGCGAUGAAGGUGGUGGCUGUGAGAGAGAAGAGUUUGCGGCAGCUGGAUCUGGUGGUGCGCGGCUUUCGGGGCUUCAGGCGGAUCUUGGAGGCGGUGGCUAUGGCAAGGGUGAAGGAGGUCAGAUGAGCUGGUGGUCACCCUUGGCGAGGAGAGCCGAGGCAGCGGCGAGAAGAGCUGGGGUGGGCGGCGGUUGCGGCAGCAGCGUCCGGCGUGGGCAGCGUCGACGAGCGGCAGGGAGGAGCGGCGCGCGAGCCAGUUGCCGCGACUGUCGUGGGUCAGCGGAGCUUCUGGCGGCGGCGAAUGAAGAAGAAAAGAAAAGGGGGAAAAAGGGCAAGCAGCGGGGAAGAAAAGAAGAAAGAAAGAAGAAAAGAAGGAAAGAAAGAAUACAAAUUUUUUUUUUUUUUUCGAGCAUUCUGGACAGAAUCCGGAUUUAUGGCCGGAUUUGCUGCAGAAAAAGCUGUUUUCUGUAGUUUUUCCUCCAAAUUUGCUUGGCCAACCUUCCACAUUCAACCUACUUCAUGUUCUUUGAAUAAAAUUCAAAUUUAAUAUGAUCAUGCAUGAAUAUAACUUAAACAUGAAACACUUUAAAUGCAUGAAAUGCAGCAAUUGAACAUGAAAACUCCCUUUUUGUCUUAAUAUAAACACCCUUGCAAUUGAGAUCAUUUGCAUGAACUCUUGCCAUUGCCUCCUACAAAACACACAAACAUUAAUCGAAGAACUAAAACUUACUAAAAACAAGCCAACAUGAAGAAAAGUAAAGUUGAAAAGUGAUCCAAGCCUUCGUUUUUAAAAGGAUCCGAGGUCGUAUCAUUGUGCUCAGAAAACGCGGCUCAAGAAAACGCGCCUCAAGGUGCGUUUUGUGAAGUCGCGUUUCUUCACCAAAUUUGCAGCAUUGAAAACGCGACUACGUGAGAAAACGCGACUUUAAGUCGCGUAUUUGAAGGCGCGUUUUUGGUUUCUGAACAGGCUGAAAAACGCGACUGGGUAGAAAACGCGACUUCCUGUCGCGUUUUGAAGGCGCGUUUUCUUAAUUAUAGGAGCAGAUUUGAAAACGCGAUUCUAUGAAAACGCGAUUCAGUGGCGCGUUUCAUUGAAAAACGCGUUUUCUGCUGCAAAAUUUAGCAGAAAUUCAACUUUUGAAUAUUUACAAAUGAUACCCCAAUUUCCCAAAAUGCAUCAUAGAUCAUUUCUAUGUCAAAAUAAAUCAUUCACGCAUAUGUAAAAUGAUCUAUACAUGCAUUCUAAACCUCUUUAAUGCAUCAAAAACCACAAUUACUGAAUUUGAGGUAUUGAGAUCUUUGAUCAAAUUUCGCCUUUUUUGCCUCAUUUGGUCACUUUUCCAAAACCUACAAAUGAAAAAUAACAAAAUUACUCAAACUUAUACUUUAAACAUAAAAUCACUCCAAAGUAACAGCAACUUAAAAAAAAAAUUGGGUUGCCUCCCAAAAGCGCCUUUCUUUAACGUCUUUGGCUAGACGGAGUCCAGAAUUUGCUUAAACUAAGCAAAUCGGGUCUUCCAGUUGCAUCAUCUCCACCCGUUCAAUUGGAAAUCUUUCAUAAUACGGCUUGUGACGAUGACCAUUCACCACAAAUUUCUUCUCCGUUUUCAAACUUUGGAUCUCUACUGCACCAUAAUGAAAGACAUUAGUCACAACAAAAGGGCCAAUCCAACGAGAACGUAAUUUACCUGAAAAUAGUUUCAAUUUGGAGUGGUAUAGCAAAACUUUUUGCCCGCAGACGAAUGUCUUCCUAGAGAUCUGUUGGUCAUGAAAGAUCCGAUUCUUCUCCUUAUAGAUCACUGCAUUCUCGUAUGCUUCAUUUCGAAUUUCUUCCAACUCUAGUAAUUGUAACUUUCUUUGAAUUCCGCCUUCCUCGAUAUCCAUGUUGCAUUGUUUGACCGCCCAAAAUGCUCUAUGCUCAAACUCGACCGGGAGAUGACAUGGCUUUCCAAAUACCAAUCGGUAAGGGGACAUGCCAAUGGGUGUCUUGUAUGCCGUCCUAUAUGCCCAUAGUGCAUCAUCUAGUCUCACACUCCAAUCCUUCCUAUCGGGUCGGACCAUCUUUUCUAGAAUUGAUUUGAUCUCUCGGUUUGAUGCUUCCGCCUGACCAUUUGUUUGAGGAUGGUAGGAUGUAGAGAUUUUGUGCAAGACACCAUAUCUCCUAAAAAUUGCAGCGAUCGUUUUGUUGCAGAAAUGAGUACCCCGAUCACUUACAAUUGCUCGCGGCAUCCCAAAGCGAACAAAAAUAUUAGACUUAACAAAUUCUGCAACCACUUUGGAAUCAUUAGUGCGGGUAGCCUUUGCUUCUACCCACUUCGAAACAUAAUCUACAGCAAGCAAUAUAUACAAAAAACCAAAGGACGAAGGAAAAGGACCCAUAAAAUCAAUGCCCCAAACGUCAAAAAUUUCAACAAAAAUCAUUGGGGUUUGAGUCAUUUGAUCCCUACGAGAGAUAUUACCCACUCUUUGACACUUAUCACAUGACUUACAAAAUGAGUAGGCAUCCUUGAAUAGAGUUGGCCAAUAGAAUCCACUCUCUAGCACCUUACGAGCCGUUCUCUUUGGUCCAAAGUGACCUCCACAUGCAAAAGAGUGACAAUAGGCUAGAAUAGAUUGAAAUUCAACUUCACUUACACAUCUACGGAUGAUUUGAUCGGCACCCCGCUUCCAGAGGUAAGGAUCAUCCCAAAUGUAGAACUUUGCAUCGCUCCUCAACUUGUCUCUCUUUGCCUUAGGCCAUCCUGUAGGAAAUUUGUCAGUAACUAGAAAAUUAACAAUAUCUGCAUACCAAGGUAAAGAUGAGUUAAUAGAAAAUAAAUGCUCCUCGGGGAAUGCUUCUCUCAAUGGGAUGUCAUCUUCGACGACUUGUACUCGACUCAAGUGAUCUGCUACCAGAUUCUCCGCCCCUUUCUUAUCUCGGAUCUCCAGGUCGAACUCCUGUAGCAAUAAUAUCCACCGUAUCAAUCGCGGUUUUGCCUCUUUUUUUGUCAACAAAUACCGCAAAGCUGCAUGAUCAGAAAAAAUAAUAACUUUAGCACCAAGUAAAUAAGACCGAAAUUUUUCUAAGGCAAAAACAACUGCUAAAAGCUCUUUUUCGGUGGUUGAAUAGUUCAAUUGAGCUCCGUUCAAGGCUCGAGAUGCGUAGUAGAUAGCAUGAGCUGCCUUUCCUACUCUUUGACCCAAUACCGCACCCACUGCAUAGUCGCUGGCGUCACACAUGAUCUCGAAUGGGAGGUUCCAGUCAGGGGGUUGGAUAAUAGGUGAGGUGGUCAAUAACUCCUUUAACUUAUUGAAUGCCCCCUUACAUGUUUCAUCAAAUUCGAAGGAUACAUCUUUUUGCAAAAGUUGGAACAAGGGUGCUCCAAUUUUCGAGAAGUCCUUGAUGAACCUUCUAUAGAAACCUGCGUGACCCAAGAAGGAACGAACUUCCCGCACACUCGCGGGGUAAGGUAAAGUAGAUAUAACAUCUAUUUUUGCCUUAUCAACCUCAAUACCUGUAGAUGAUACAACAUGACCCAAAACUAUCCCGUGUUCAACCAUAAAAUGACAUUUUUCCCAAUUAAGCACGAGAUUAGUUUCUAUACACCUUACUAAGAUCAAUUUCAGGUUAUCUAGACAGUUUUCAAAACUUUCACCAUAUACACUGAAAUCGUCCAUGAAAACCUCAAUAAUUUUCUCAACAUAUUCUGAAAAAAUACUUACCAUGCAUCUUUGGAAGGUAGCAGGUGCAUUGCACAAUCCAAAUGGCAUCCUUCGGUAUGCAAAUGUCCCAAAUGGGCAGGUGAAAGUAGUCUUCUCUUGAUCUUCGGGUGCGAUGGCAAUUUGAAAAUAACCUGAAAAUCCAUCCAAGAAACAAUAGUAAGCUCGACAUGCUAAUCGCUCCACCAUCUGAUCAAUGAAAGGGAGGGGAAAAUGGUCCUUUUUCGUGACGGCAUUUAGCUUUCGGUAAUCGAUACACUGUCGCCAUCCGGUGGGCUUUCGAAUUGGUACGAGCUCACCCUCUUGGUUUGAUUCCACUGUCACCCCUGCCUUCUUCGGGACCACCUGUACUGGACUUACCCACGGGCUAUCUGAUAUUGCAAAUAUAAUUCCAACGUCCAGCAGUUUUAAAAUCUCUUUCUUUACGACCUCCAUCAUGAGAGGAUUUAAUCUCCGUUGAGCUUGCCGUACGGGUUUAGCAUUCUCCUCGAGUUGAAUUCGGUGCAUACACACCGCAGGGCUAAUUCCCUUGAUGUCGGCGAUGGUCCAUCCUAUCGCCUGCUUAUGUUCCCUAAGAACUCGAAGUAGUUUCUCUUCUUGAACCUUUGAUAAACCCGCGGAGAUGAUCACUGGAAGUGUCUCCCCUUCACCUAAGUAUACAUACUUUAGGUGUUUCGGCAGUGGUUUUAGUUCCAAGACAGGUGCCUGCACCACAGAUGGAAGUAACCUUUGGUGAGGUUCGGGUAUGAAAAUCGGUACAAGAUCAUACCUUGUUUUCGUGGUUGGUAAUGUUUGCAACGAUCCAAUCACGCAUUUAAGCUCUUCACUCAACUCUACCCUAGAGGUCGUUUCGGACUCAAAGUGCCUGGUCAGGACGACCUCUAGUUCAUCCCUGCCUUCAAUUUCAAAAACCUCCUGUAUAGCAUGGUCAAUAACAUUUAUCGAGAAAACAGAGCCAAUAUUUGAAUCGGAUGGAUAUUUCAUGGUCUCAAAGAUGUUAAAGUGAACAAUCUCACCAUCAAAUUCCAUAGACAAAGUACCCUUAUUAACAUCAAUUUUGGUUCGGGCUGUGCUCAAAAAGGGUCUACCUAACAACAAAGGUGACGGAUCACGGAAGUGUUCAUCCUCCAUGUCGAGCACAUAAAAAUCAGCUGGAAAAACCAAUUCGUUAAUUUUUACCAAAACAUCUUCAAUCAACCCGUCAGGGUAUGCAUUGGUCCUGUCAGCUAAUUGGAUUAUUAUCCCAGUCUCUUUCAAAGGGCCUAAGUUUAAGGAAGCAUAAAUGGACUUUGGCAUGACAUUAAUUGAGGCUCCCAGGUCUAACAUGGCCUUUCCAAUCAAAGUAUUACCUAUCCUACAAGGAAUAGUAAACAUACCUGGAUCUCCGCAUUUUGGUGGAAGUUUCCUUUGUAGAAUUGCUGAAACAUUCUCCCCAACUAUAACUCGUUCAUCCCCCUUCAACCGCUUGCGGUUGGCACACAGGUCCCUCAAAAAUUUUGCGUACCUGGGUACUUGUUUAAUCGCAUCCAGCAGGGGUAUGUUGAUCUCCACCUUGCGAAAGAUCUCCAAGACCUCUUUUUCCUUGUCUUGCUUCUUUGGUUUCUCUAACCUGCUAGGAAAGGGAGGUGGAUUAGUUUUAGUUGUAGGAAUUGGGUUCGAGGGUACCUUUGCAUUUUUGUUGUCUGUGCCCUCCUCUUCCAAUUCUUUCUCAAUCCGUUCCUCGUCCUUGUCUUUAGGAAUCACCGGUUCGGGUCCUUGAACUUCCUUGCCACUCCUUAAGGUCAUUGCGCUUACAUUCUUUGGAUUUGCCUCAGGUUGAGAUGGCAACUUUCCUUGAACUUGGGACUCCAACCGGUUGAUUGUUAUAGCCAUUUGAUUCAUUUGAUUUUGCAAUGAUUGCACCUGUCCCAGUUGAUUCCUCAUACUUUGCAAGUCUGAAUCCGUCUUUUGUUGAUUAGCAAGUAAUUGCUUCAUCAUCUCUUCCAUGGACGGACUUGAGUUUGAAAGUGGUGGUGGUGGUGGUGGGCGAUGAUGGUACUGCUGUUGGUGUCCUUGCUGUCUAUUUGGCACAAAGUUAGACUGCCUAUUUCCUCCAUAACUAAGGUUGGGGUGAUCCCUCCAACCAGGAUUGUAGGUACUUGAGUAUGGGUCGUACGGCUUUCUUGGCGCGGGCGCGUGGCCAGCCAUGUUCACCUGUUCAGCAGUUUCUUCUUGAACCAAUGGACACAUUUCGGUAGGAUGACCCACGGCAGUGCAUACCCCGCACACUUUGGCUUGCGAUGUAUUCCCCACAGCUAGUUGUCGUACAAAAGAUGUCAAUUCGGAGAGUUGCUGUUGAAUAGAGGAUGUUUCUACCUCAUUCACCCUACGCGUCGGGAUGUCCUCUCUUGAACCAAACUGCUGUGAGUUCUCAGCCAUCCCUUCAAUCAACUCCCAGGCUCCUCGAGGAGUCUUGUUCACCAAUGCCCCUCCACUUGCAGCAUCGAUUAUGCUUCUGUCCCUGAAAAGCAACCCCUCAUAGAAAUAUUGAAUGAGCAGUUGCUCACUUAUCUGAUGCUGAGGGCAUUUGGUGCACAGUUUCUUAAACCUCUCCCAGUACUCAUAGAGUGACUCGCCUGGGUGUUGUUUAAUGCCACAUAUCUCCUUCCUUAGGCUCGCAGCUCGAGACGCAGGAAAGUACUUGUCCAAGAAUUUUUUCUUUAGUUGGUCCCACGUGGUGAUACUACCAGGCGGUAGGUAGUAGAGCCAGUCUUUUGCGGAAUCCUUCAAAGAGAAGGGGAAGGCCCUCAUCUUUAUUUGCUCUUCAGUAAUUCCCGGAGGCUUCAUACUGUUGCAAACGACGUCAAACUCUUGCAAGUGCUUGUAGGGCUCCUCACCUGGUAGACCAUGAAAAGAUGGCAAGAGAUGAAUUAGACCAGAUUUUAGUUCAAAGGGAGUGUCAUCAUUUAAAUGUGGAAAAGUAAUGCACAAGGGCUGCUGAUUUAAAUCUGGAGCAGCCAACUCCCUUAGUGUUCGUGCAUUUGCCAUAGUGACUUCCUCUUGGUCUGAAUCACUUGAAUUGUCACCAGACAAAUUUGUCGGCUCAACCUCUGGAUCAAGUCCCUGAGGUGCAAUAUCGUAUUGCUCCUCCCUGAGCCGCCUGGUUUCUUUCCUCGUUCUACGCGCGGUCUUCUCUACUUCAGGGUCGAAAAUUAAUUCGCCUGUACGAGAAGAGCGAGGCAUAAACUAGAAAAAUAACAGAAAAAAAUGAACUUAAAAAGAAACAAAUGAUUAACGCCAGUCCCCGGCAACGGCGCCAAAAAUUGACAGGUGUCGAGCCUGUGCAAUAAUAAAUACCUACUCGAGAAAAAUGAAUUUUCUGUGUAUAGUAGUGAGUAGGGUCGAAUCCACAGGGACUGGGAAAAAUUUGAUUCCUUUCAAGUUCGGGACACGGGGGAUUUUUAUCGGAAAUAAACUAAAAAUAAUUAAACAAUUUAACUAAAAAUAAUUAAAUAAUUUAACCAAAAAUAAAUAAUUAAUUAAUACAAUUGUAAAUAGCAAUUAGAUAAAUGAUAAAUAAAUUCUAGCCAAGGAUACAACUACGCAGACACAGUCCAUUCAUCCGAUCAUUGAUGCAAAGAAGGUUCACUUAAUUUUAUUAAUAGGCUAGUUAUAGUCGCCGAUAAACUCUAACGACCAGCUUUUCCUUAAUUUAUUGAUAACCAAGGUACGAUCGUUGAUUACUUCUAACCAGGAAAUACUCCUAGGUACGACCGUAGGAAUUAAUUUCCUAAUUGCAUUAAAAACUAGAAAAGCCUAACCCAAAUUAAUAACACGCUACGAGGGUUAUUUAAAUCAGAUUGCAUGUUCUCCUAGUAUGUGAAAAUACUAGUUGUCACUAAUAUUAACCAACUAAACAAUUACGGAUUUAAUUGAUUAAUUUGACAGGAGAUUAAUAAGUCAAAUUGCACAUCGGGCCCUUGAUAUCCAAUUAACAAAAUAAUCCCAUGGAAAUUAAAAUAGAAAACAUGCAAAUAUUAACAAAUUAAGGAACACGUAAAAUUAAUUAGAUCUCACAGAUAUUUGGGAUUGCGUCUUCGCGUUGAUCCUUGACUAGAGGAGAAAAUUAGCCACGCCUCAUAAGAAAAUUCCCACGCAAUUUAAUUGAACUCAAAGACAUUUAUCUCUUACUAAUAAUUAAAAAUAAGGAUUAUAUUCUCUGUAGUCUAAUACAAUAAAAAUAGUCUCAUGGAAGAGACGGAAGAAAACAAGACACGCAAGAAAUCUUCACCCCAAAACUAAAAACUCCUCUUUCCAGACGGAAGAGAAGAAGAAAAACUGAGCUGCGGAAAUGUGCGACUCUCCCACAUAUAAAAACAAGCCAAUUCGAAACUUCACUCCACGCUUACAAAAGAAAACAUUCCUUCCCUACCUAAUCAACUCCACCGAAAACAAAAGCAAAGCCAACUAUGGUUUGUCGGUUUCCUUUGACCAAGUGCACACGUUCACAAAUAAGAAAGCAAACCAAAAAUGUGUCUUUACACAAUGAUCAAGUCUUCGCGGUCCCCACCUAAUUGAGAUGUUGGCCAGCCAAAUGCAAUUCAAUUCCUUUUCAUCAUAGAAAGAAAAGGACGUUGGUUUACACCAUGCAUAUGGGCCAAUUGUAUAGAGUUUCACAAUAAUCUUCUCAAGAAGGUUUCUGCUCCACUUUCUGAAAGUAUAUCCAAAUAUCAAAUAUAAAUAUAUAUUGACAAUUAAAGCAAUAUUUGGCAAGGAUAAAGAGGAGAAUUAACAAUAAAAUUACUAACAAUUAACACCCUAUCAGGGGACAAUAUAACCUCGACAUCAGAAAAUCUUUUACCUUGGUAUGAAUGCACAACCGGUGACAGUUGCCUGGCUCAUUAAAGGUGAAAAGCUCUUCAGACCCAUGUAAUACGCAAAGAAACUUUUCUUCUUUGGCUUUCGCCACACAAAAUUCAACUAACAAAUCAUGAAUGCUACAAGUUUUAACCCUAGUAAAGGAUCUCUUUUCCGCAACCAUGACCAAGCUUCUAUUAAUCAGAUCCAUCAUGUAUGCCUCUGCCACCUCCUCUAAGCUCCUUGACCCACUUUUUUGCACAAAAUUUUCAGCGAUCCAUAAGCUUGUCAACUUCCAAACAGGAACUUCUUGGACCUUUGGAAAUGCUGCAAAGUAGAGAAAGCAUGGUUUCAAGUAAUCAGGUAAGUUUUUGUAACUUAGCUCCAAGGCAUCCAUGCACUCUUUUGUACCACAAACAGUGUUUGAACCUAACCUUGUUGCAACUUCUUCCCAACCAUCUUGGUUUGUUGUUGCAAGAAUUCCAGCAAUGAUGACAAUUAUGAGAGGUAAUCCAUUGCAAUUUUUUGCUAUUUUCUGCCCAAGAAUGACAAGCCCUGGAGGAAACUCUGCAUUGCGACAUAUCUUCUUUUGUAAUAAUUCCCAACUCUCAUCGUAAGCGAGCUGGCGAAGAGGGUGUAGUUUACUAUCAGUUUUAACUUCUUCAGCCACCUUAUGAAGUCGACUUGUUAACAGAAUUCUACUUCCAUUUUUAUCAUCUGGGAAUGAUAUAUGCAAGCCAUUCCAUGCCUCAAUGUCCCAAAUGUCAUCCAAAACUAUGAGAUAUCUAUUCUUCUUCAAAGAUUGGAACAGCUCCAGGGCCAAAUCAUCUUCAUCCUUCCCAGAAUAUUGAGCCGUCUGUACAAUACAACCCAGAAUCUCAAGUAACAAGUUUUUCAUGCAAUAUGCUUGAGAAACAUGACACCAUGCUUGAACAUGAAAGUGACGUCUAAUUCUGGGAUCAUUAUAGAUUUUUUUGGCUAAAGUUGUCUUACCAAGCCCAGGCAUUCCCAAGAUCGAGACCAUGUCCAGCUUCAUCGAUCCUCGAGUAAGUUGAUUGACUAUUGUUUCUGUCUCAUCGUGCAAGCCAACUAUAACUUCGUCAAUUGUUUGGAUACUACCUUGUGGCGGCUCAUGACUUAGCACCUUGGCAUCUUUUACAGCUACAAAACCAUAAUUACUAUUAUCUGUGAAACCAACUUUGUUGAUUCUUGGAGAGUUCAGUAUUGAUGUUGCAGGGUGCUUAUUUAGAAUUCCUGUUUUAAGAAGUUUAACUUUUCCCAGCAAAUUGAAAAGGGAAUGAUCCACUUCCUUGGCCAAGACUGACUUCAGAUUGCUCAGAAAAAGAGAGCAAACUACUACACCUGCAUCACUAACCACAACCGGAACAAGAUCCUUUAGAUUUUCAUCUAGGUCAUUGAGCUUCUCCUGCUGCUUCAUGAGAAUGGUUCUCAGGAAUCUCAAAUGCUCAUAGAGUACCUGCAGUUGAUCCUUCAGAGAAAUCAUGACACUAGUACGGCAAUGAAGUAUCUCAAAAAGAUUAACCAGGUGAGAAUCAACAAACUGCCCCAAUAUAUGCAGAUCCUUCUCUGAAGGCUGAGUGUUAGAUGAUUCUGAUGAAGUUGAAGCUAUCAGGAGUUGGACAUAAAUCUCAAGAACUCCAAGAUCAUCAGCCUUAAUCUUCUGUAGCAAUUCAGGAAUCAACUGACUAUCAGCUUUGACUUGGGGAUCAUCAGCUCUGAUCUCCUGUAGUUCUACAAAUAUCAAGAACAUUUUAUCCUUUCUAUCAAACCAAUACAUGCAAGUAGCCAAUGCUGCUCUCAAAGCAAGUACUUCAAAUUGAGUCGAGAGAUUUUCCAAUUGCCCAUGCCUAACACCUCGCCAUGUGACAUAGAGGAUAAAAUUUCUAAAGAACAUCAGCCUCUCUUCAAGGGCUUCAAUAAAUUCUGGAAAGACUUUAUCAUAAGCUCUUACCAUAUAAAAAGCUUGAUCAUAAGGCUUGCUCCAUUUGAGAUCCUCCAGAUUUUUAAGCAGUGAGUCAAUGGUCUCCAUAAGUUCACCUCUUGCAGGAGAACUGGAACGCACGGGGCAAUCCACCAGAGUGGAAUACAAUUCUUUGAUUUCUUCCUUGAAUGAACCGAUGAUUUUUCGGAAUUCAGAGACUACUUUCUCCAAGUCACUCGAUGAGAACUCUUCCCCUGAUAUUUGCAGGAAUUUCUGAAGAGCAUCUUGAAGUCUAGCCAAGGAAGAUCUCAGACUUACAUGCUUAUUAUCAUCAGAUUCCAAACAGACAUCUUUUCCACAUUUUCUCGAACAGAGAAAGAGUGUUCUCAGAAGUCUUAACUCCAACUUCAGCAUCCCCAACUCAUCCCUCUUUUUCACUAAAUAUUUAUCCAGCAACUCGAGAUUAUGCAAGAUUGCAUCGAUACAAGCGGAACCCAUCUCAGGAGAAUUUGAAUAAACUUCAAACUUGGAACUAAAUGAAAUGAAAUCUUAACUCUGGAACUUGAAGCGAUUCUCCUCUCUCCCUCUCAAGUUUUGGGUCAACCCUUUCAUUUACAAAUGAAAAAGACAGCGGGAUUAGGCCAACAUCCACACAUUCCGCGGUUGAAAAUGAACAGGUCAACUGUUAUCCUACUGAUUCCGCCGUAGCUAAAUUUACAGUAUUGUAGGUCUAUUUUUAUCUGUAACCAUUUUGGGGUGGGGGUACAAAAAAGGAUCUGUAGUUAAAAUUAAUCCAUAGGCUCGUUUGAAAAUCGGGAAAUUUUGGUUGGAAGACAGGGGGAGAAAGAAAUGGGAGUGAAAUGAGGUGACAGAUAAAAGGAAAUUGAAAGACAUUUCCCGCUCAAGUUCGGUAAUUCCGUUAAACAGGAAAACUUGAGAAUAGGAAAUAUUUGAAUAAUUUAAAGAGGAUAUAAAGUUUGGGAAGCUAUGGACAUGUGGAACAAAGUUACUAUUCAAAAUAUUAGGAAACUAUCAAUUAUAGUUUUCUCUUCACCUAAAAUAUGUUUAUAAGAGAAGUUUAAGGUAAAAUAUUAUAUGUAAAAUAUUAGCUAAACUGUACGCGUCACGUGACAACACAUUAAUAUCAAUCAAAAGUCACCAACUAACGUCAUAGGUCAUUCUACUAAAUAAGAAAUUGAUCACCAUUAUUAUUUAGUGAUAUAUGAUUGUUAUUAGUGUAUCACGUGACAUAGCACAUAACAUAUGGCUUCGAGAGUUGAAAUAUGCCUUAAACAAUCAGGCACCUGAAUCAGCUGCAUACAGUUCUGCACUACUAAUUUCUGAAGAAAGGGAAACUGAUCGUCUGGACCUGUCCACCUGACAAUGUCCAGUAAUUCCAAUACCAAGAUUCUAAGUUUAGGGAAAUCCCCUUCUUUCAUUUCCCAAACUUCUCCCCCAUGAUCUCCUCGUAGUUUGAGAACCUCAAGGUUGGGUAGCUUUCCUACCGGGGGGAAUUGCACUCCAGGAAAAGCUCGAUAGAGUUAACUUUUUUAGGUUCAAGGGAAAACAAAACUCGCAAUGGUUCUCUUUCAUAUCAUACAGAGAAAGUUUUAGUGAUUCUAAUCUGACUCAAAAAGUCCAGGUCCACAAUCUUAUUGCAAUCUUCCAUGGUUCCUUGGCUUCAGAGACUCUGCAUUUUAGUCUUUGGAUUUUUGGAAAUUUUCUCAUUAUUGUUUCCAUCUGUUGUCCAACAUACAGAAUUGGAGUGAAAAAGGUGUCUAUAUUCUUCAGAUCAUGGGAGUUUUCAAGAUUCUCUCCGGCCAAAGUAAGGUGUAAAAAGCCACCACUUAUGUGGAGAUGCCUCAAUUUCGUCACAUUCCAGAUGGUAUCUGGCAAGGAAACAGAACAAUAAUAUACUUCCAACAGGAAAGUUUCCAAGUUUGAUAGGUUCGCUAUUGAUGAUGGGAUGGAUUGCAUUGCACCUAGAACUGCCAGAUAUCUCAAGUGAACAAGCAAUUCAAUCUCGGUAAAAAGUCACCUAGAUGAACUUGCUGUAGAUCCAAAACUUUAAGAAGUUUGAAGAUGCGAAAAAUGAAUGAGAUAUUACACCGAUUAAGAGGGUACCCAUCGUCACAAGUAAAGAACAGUAGGCUGCGUAGUUGGCUACAAAAUGGCCUCGACUUCUCAAGAUGCUCUCCUUCAGAAUAAGUGCACAACCUGCGUAUAUUGUGUGGCUCAUCAAAUGUAAGAAGCUCAUCAUAUCCAUGCAAAAAUUGCAGGAAAUUUUCCUCUUUCGCUUUUGCCAAACAAAACUCAUGUAACAAAUCAUGAAUGUGGCAAGUUUUGACCCCUCCUGUGGAGCUGCGUUUUGCCAACAUAACCAAGCUUUUGCCAAUUAGACCCAUCACGUAAUCCUCUGCUAUGUCCUUUAAGCUCCUUCCCUCUGAUUUUUGCACAAAUCCUUCCGCGAUCCAUAACCACAUCAACCUCCAAAUAGGAAUUUCUUGGUCUUUUAAAUAUGCUCCAAAUUAGAGAAAGCAUGGCUUCAAACAAUCAGGUAGAUAUCUGUAGCUCAUCUCUAAUAUGUUCAUGCAGCGCUCUGUGCCACAAACAAUAUCAGAACUUAGCCCUUCUGCAACUGCUUCCCAACCAUCUUCCUCCAUAGUUGCAAGAAUCCCAGCUAUGAUGACAACUGAUAGAGGUAGCCCAUUACAAUUCUUAGCUAUUUGGAUUCCAAGAUCACAUAGUUCUUGUGGAAAAGCUUUUCCAGGAAAUAGCUUCUUUCACAAUAGUUCCCAGCUCUCAUCAUAACUAAGUUGGCGAAGAGGGUAAGGUCUACCAUCGGGUUUAAUCUGCAAAGCCACCUCUUGAAGUCGACUUGUCAAGAGUACUAGCAUCAUUGGUGAAUGACCUUUCCAACCCAUUCCUUGCAUCUAUAUCCCAAACAUCAUCCAAAAUGAUGAGAUGCCUAUUUCCUUUCAAACAUCUGUAGAGUUUUUCCACCAAACCAUCUUCAUUCAUUGCAAAAUAUUCAUGACAAAGCUUCGGAACAAUACAAUCCAGAAUCUCGAGAAAUAUAUCUUUCGUACGAUACUUGAGAAAUGCAACACCAUACUUCUUACCAUCAUAAAUCUUCAAGGCUUCAGUCUUAAUAUGUUUGAUUUCUUCUCUAAGGCUACUAAGUAACAUAGCAGAAGAAUAAGUAGUGUCUCCAACCAGUAACGAGUCAAUGACAAACUCAAGCCUUGUGUCCCACCUCUGUAACAGGAUUCCAAAGAGCUUGAAGCUUUUCAUCCAGGCUGCACUGCUCCACAAUACUCUCCAGUAAAGAUCUUAGAAAUACAAGAUCUUCCUGCACUGUUUGAAUCUGAUCCUUUGCAAAAGCAAUUGAUUCAACCUUGCAGCUUAGUAGUUCCUUCAUAUUUUCAAGGAGAUAAUCGUCAAAGCCCGGCUCAUUUGUCUUGGAAAGUCAAAUUCUGACGUUAAUGGGCACUUGUCUGCAAUUUUGGGCGUCAAAAGCGUAACUAUUUCGAGCCAAGCAAAGAGCACAAGCUCCAUUUCCACGGCUGACCCUUGUUCCAAUUCAUGAGUAAAAAGCCAGCAAGUUAUAGUACCAGCACUAUUUACAAAAAAUUAUCAUACAAGUAUGCUCUCAAACGCUAGAAAUAAGUAUUUAUUAAGUACUUUUUGUAACAAUUCUAUUAAACAAAGUACUUUAUUAUAAAUUACCGCAAUCCUGAAUUGGCUCUAAAUAUGCAAGAGGAAUCUGGGAAUUUGGGAAGCAUAACUGAAAAAGGGUUGAAAAUUAUGGCAAAAUGUAAUGAAAAUUAAUCAUCACGAAAUUGAUUCUACGUUUUGUGUAAUUAUUUUUAUACUUGAUAAACUUUGUACAUCUGGUCAAAUUCUGCCACAAUGAAGAAAUAAUGAAGGAAUUGCGUCUGAAUCACAUUUUUUUAUGGAUGGUUUUCUUUUUCUUUUUUCUUUUUUUUUUUCAAUUUGUGGUAACUUUUUGGUAUCUCAUUUACAAUUCAAAGUUGCAACCUAAAAGGAUAACUUUUAUGUUCUAAAUUGUGUCACCCUAAAUGGUAAAGUUAUAAACUUUUUUUUUUUCUUAUCUUCACUUUAUCCUUGUGGUAAAACGUAUUGGGAUACUUGGUCAAAAACUUUGGCAAGUUUAAUUAGCAACUCACUAUUGCUUUGGAAAUGCUUUUUCUCUAAUGUUUGGUCUCAUUGUUUUUGCUUCAAAUUACCCCUUUUUUUAUUCAAUUUUUUGCCUUUCAUAUGAGCACUUCCUAGUUUGAUCAAUUCCAAAAAUUUCGCUCUGCAACUUUAGUCCAUCUGCUGGAGAAAUGAACUUCAAAAUAUAGACAGAUGAAGGAGAAAAUUGUGGUGCAGACAAAGAAAUCCAGACAAACAUGAAGAGAAAUUGUUGGAGCAAAUGAGGAAAGGUCACCAGAAAUAGCAAUUUCAAAACUUCAUUGUCAAACCACUAGCAAUAGAAGAAUUCAACUGUGGCUGCACUUUCAUUACAGAAGGCAGUGAAAACAAAUUCAAAGUAUCAGAAGUAGCAAGAAAAUGAAGAAAAACAAAGAGUGUCCUAAGCUGAAACCAUUGCCAGGUGCUGAAGUGAAACACAGAAGCUAAUAGAUGAUAACAGAUGAAACACUCAGCAAUAUUCUUUAUUCACAAAAAUCCACUACAGUCAUGCAUUUAUUAGUACAAAGCAUCCUUCUUCAAACAAGAACUAAACUUGGUAACAGGUGGUCAUCACAACUUCAUUUAUUAAUUAGUACAUUGAUUUCAUAUCCAAAUCUCUGUCAACAAUGAAAAACAUAAAUAGAUUCAACCACUUGACAUGUUAUGCGACAUGUGAGGGCGAAUUCUUGCUUCUGAACAGAACAUCCAUGGUCUCGUAUCACUGGAAGAUAAAGAUCUUGAAAUCAUAAUUUCCUGAGCUGUUCUGUUCCUCCUCAAUCUUCAAAAGUAAACUUCUAUCCAAGACUGGGCAGUCACGCACCUCAAUCAUUCCUAGAUGUUCAAUAACCUCUAAGCAAGAAGGGAUCUCUUCUAGUUUGCGACAUUCCUGCAGCACUAAUUUCUCAAGACAGGGGAAAUGAUCGCUCGUGCUGGUCCAUCUCACAAUGUCCAAGGAGCCUAACUUCAAGAAUCUGAGUUUUGGGAGUUCCCAUUCUUCUUCCAUGUCCCAAGUAUUCUCCUCACAGUGGAUGGAAAGUAGUUUGAGUACCUCAAGAUUGGGUAGAUCUCUCAGUUCUGGAAUUAUACUCGAAUGCAAGUAUGACAGAGACAGCUUCCUUAGGUUCGAGGGAAAAUGAAGCUCGCUAUGAUACUUUACUCUUCCAAAUGAUGAGGACAGGUGGAGUGAUUGUAGUCGACUCAAAAACUGCACUGCCACGGUCCUGUUGCAAUCCCCAGUAGAUUUCCCUGAUUCAAAGAGUGUGCAUUUUAGUCUGCGGAUGUUUGGCAACUUCCUCAGUAUCUUUUCAAUGCUUUGCCCAGAAGAAAGGCUAAGCACAGAAAAGGUCUCUAAAUUGUGUAAGACAGAGGACAUUUCAAGGUUUUCUGUGGCCAAACUAGACCCAAGCAAGCUAAAACCACCAUGCAGAUGUCUUAAUUUCUGCAUAUUCCAGAUAGUAUCUGGCAAUACAGCUGUACUAUGACUUUUGACAAGAAGAGUUUCUAAAUUUGAGAGGUUGGAUAUUGAUGAUGGGAUCGAAUCGAAUUCACCCUGAGCUGCCAAGUACCUCAACUCAACAAGCAAUAGCGUUUCACUUGGAAAGCAAAAUCCUAGACGGAUUUGCUCCAAAUUCAACACAUUAAGAAGUUUGAAGAUGCACAGAUUGAAUAAGAGACGACAAUGCUUCGGUCCAUACGCAUUAUCAAGAGGAAAGAAUAGUAUAGAACGUACACUGGGACAAAAUAUCCUUGACCUCUCAAAAUGUUCUUGGAGAGAAUACACGCACAACCAUUGCUGAUUACACUGCCCAUUGAAGGUGAGAAGCUCAUCAUACCCACUUACCAAAGACAAAAAUUUCUCCUUUUUCGCUGUUACCACACAAAACUCAUGCAACAGAUCAUGAACACAACAGGCUUUAAUGCCUCCUAAGGAUCUUUCUUUGGAGAUCAUAACCAAGCUUCUGCCAAUCAGAUCAUUGAUGUAGUCCCCGGCCACAUCUUCUAAGCUCUUUCCAUCACUUAGUUGAACAAAUCCUUCGGCGAUCCAUAAUCUCAUCAGCUUCCCAAAAGGAAUCUCCUGGCCUACUGGAAAUGCACCGAAGUAAAGAAAGGAUGGUUUCAGAUAAUCAGGUAAGUUUCUGUAACUCAACUUUAUUAUGUCCAUGCACUGUCCUGUGAUAGAAAGAGUAUUUAAGCUUAGCCUUCCUGCAAUCUCUUCCCAACCAUCCUGCCCUGAAUUUGAAAGAAUUCCAGCUACGGUGACUACUGUGAGGGGUAAUCCCUUACAAUUUUUUGCUAUUUCCCUCCCUAGUUUCUCAUCAUAGCUAUCCCUGCAAGAUAGCCUCUUUUGUAACAGUUCCCAGCUCUCAUCAUCAGUGAGUUGGCGAAGGUAGUGAGACUCACGGUUAGGAUUAAUUUUUUGGCUACUUCAGGAUGUCUACUUGUGAAGAGGAUCCUGCUUCCAUUGGCAUCAUUGGGCAGCGAUCUUUCCAACCCACUCCAUGUGUCAGCAUCCCAGACAUCAUCCAAAACAAUGAGAUACUUAUUUUUCAGUAAACGCCUUUUGAGCUCUUCCUCCAAAUAGACUUCACUCUUGUUCAGAUAUUGAUCAGAAAGUUCAGGAACAAUCCAUCCCAAAAUCUGAAGAACCAAAUCUUUCUUUGUAUAUACUUGAGAAACAAUGCACCAUGCAUGACUAUGAAAUGUGCGUGUAACUGAAGGAUCAUUAAAAACACUUCUGGCCAAAGUAGUCUUACCUAGUCCUGGCAUACCUACAACAGAAAUGAUAUCCAACUGUUUUGAUCCACUUACAAGUUGAUCAAUUAUCUUCUUUGCCUCGUCAUUCAAACUCACCACAGCUUUGUUGAUUGCUGGCGUUCUACCCUGUGCUGGCAAAGAAUUGGAAGACCUGAUAGGUUUUUGGGAUGCCAAGCUACACCUAUUGUCACCAAUCUUCAAGGCCUCCAUCUUAAUAAAAUUAAUUUCUUCUGUGAGUGGACCAAAUAUCGUUGGAGAAUAAUCAGGAUCAUUUCCGACAACUAAGGAUUGAAUCAUAAGUUGUGCUUUGUACGCCACCUCUACAGCAUGACGGGAAAGAGCUUGAAGCUUUUCAUCCUGAUUACGUUCUUCCAGAUUAUUCUCCAACAAGGAUCUCAAGGAUAUAAGAUCAUCUAGUACUGUCUGAAUUUCAUUGCUUGCAAAAACAUUUGAAUCAACCUUACAACCUGGCAAAUCUUUGAGAUUUUGUAGAAAAAAGUUCAUAAAGCCAAGCUCAUCUGUCUUAGGAAAGAUAAGUGCUGAUGUUACUACCUUGAUAAGCUUAAUAUUUCCCAGCAGGUUGACAAGUGCAGAAUCCAUUUCCUUGGCCAAGCCUUCUUUCAAUCCUUGCACAAAUAGUGAGCAAAUUACGAUCCCUGCCUCACUGACAGCAGCUCGAAUGAGAUCCUUAACUUUGUUAGGCAACUUCCCAAAGUACUUCUUGAGAAUGGUUCUCAAGAAUCUGAGCCCCUCAUAGAGAAUUGGCAUUUGAUCCUCCAAAGAAACCACACAAGUAAUACUGUGCGUCAGUCCUUCCCAAAUCCGAUAUAGGAGGGAAUCAACAAAAUCCCCUAGUAUAUGCUCUUCUAUCUCCAAUGUCCGAGCAUGUGGCGAUCCAGAUAGCAAGACUUGGAUGUAUGUCUCACGGAUUUGUGGAUCAACAGCCGCCAUCUUUUGUAGCAGCUCAGAAAAGAUCAACCGCAUUUUAUCAUCCCGUGCUUCUUUAUCAUCAUAUGGGUAAAACACCCACAUGUGGAAGACUCUUGCUGCUGCAUCGAUAGCCACAACUUGUAAACGCAUGAAGAGAACUUCCAACUGCCCAUACUCAAAGCCUCGCCAUUCUGCAAAGCGAAUGAAGUUCUUCAAGAAAGCCACCUUCUCUUUGAGGGCUUCGAGUAAAUCUCGCACAUCUUGGUCAUCAACAUUUACCCAAGUUUGGACAUCCUCUAUAUUCACUAGCAGGAAGUCGAUGAAAUCCAUAAUUUUUGGGCCCCAGCUGGAAUGGUUUUGCAAUGAAUUGUAGUAAUCCAACAAAUUGAUAUAGGAUCGGCUGAUUUCUUGCCUCAAAUUGUAGAUGCAAGUGGUUCUUAUUUCGCCAACCUUGUGAUCAAACUUGGACUUCCAAUCGAAAGUCCCUUCUUCCUCUCCUCCAAGACCAUAAAAGUACUUAUCUUUUCCCUUCAAGAGAUUGAAAGAGGCUUUGCUGCCCAUCCCCAUGAAACCUUGACCAUAGCUGAAUCGUUCUUUUCCCAUAUAAGAACGAUUAUACGAGUACGGUCCCUGUUUCAAGGGGAAGAACUGUUCCUGUUUCAGGCGGAUCAAAUGGGAAUUCAAACCCAGUUUGCGGAAUCUUUCUUCACUAAGACAAUCAUUAUACAAGUCCAGAAUUUUUUUCUCUACUGCAGGUUCAAGGCUAGUCAAGAAAGAUGCCAGAUUAUUGUUGUUACCAGGUUUGGAAUACAGAUCGUAGUUCCACUCUCUUGCACACCAAAAGAGGGUUCUCAGAAGUCUCAACUCCGCCUUCAGGUCCAACACCCUGUUAUAUUGUACACCAAAAUCUUUCACCAGCAACUCUAGAUCACGCAAGACUGUAGCAAUGAUAUCAGAGGCCAUCUCUGUCUCUUUCAGAUCAGAUCCCUCGGCUCUUCAGCAGCAAUAGAGAAAACUGAAAUGAAAACUUGAACAGCUAAAGCUAAUGCUGGCUAUUCCACUCUGCCAAUGGAGUAUUCAGUCAAAUUCCAUAGGAAAAGAGAUAGGUUUUGUGGCAAGUUUCGGCUUUUGCAAUGAACAGAAAUAAUUGUAGUAACUUAAUACUCCCAGAAUGGACAAAGUGGCCGGCUUUCGCAAGUUCCGGUUAUUGCUAAAGAUUCCACACCCGAAAUGGACACCAUAAUAAUGGUGGUAACUAAAAUUUCCCGUUCAUCGAGGGGGCGCCACAUUUUUCAUUUUAAAACAUUUAAAAUAUUUGUCAGGCUGAAAAGAUCAAAAUAUAUUUUAAUUUUAAUUUUUAAUAUAAUCUUUCUUUUUAAUCAUAUCCAUGCUAUUCAUUCAACUUUUAAUUUUAAAUUUAUAAAAAUAAAAUUAAAAAAAAUGUAAACAUCAUAAUUAAAUUAUUAUUUUUAAAAUGUUAAAUUCUUAAAAUAUAACUGAAUAAUCGAAACGGAGGGAGUAAUUGCAAUACUGCACUGCAUCAAUCAAGCUUGACUUUUCUUAAGGUGAUUGGAGCCCUACGUUACUAUUUCUUGAUGCUUUUUUGACAGGUGGAUGGGAGACCAAAUGCUAGAUUUUGGUGGGGUAAGGGAGAAAAGGAAAACGCUGUACACUGGACAAGUUGGAAGAGAAUCUCUGAACUAAAAGGAAAAUGAGGGUUGGGAUUUAGGGAUUUAGUGGCUUUCAACACAGCCCUGCUUGCAAAAAAAAAUUGGAGAUUCAGAACAUUUCCAAAUUUGUUAGCAAGCACGGUAAUGACAGCUAAAUAGUAGCUGUGUUUUCAAAUUCGGAUCGGAUCGGUCGGUCCGACCAGUUGAACCGAGAAUCGGUCAAGUGUUCGGUCCGAGUUGGUCAUCAGAACCGAGAGAUUUAAAACCCGGUCAACUCCGGUCAAAAACCGGGUUUGACCGGUAUAGAACCAGAAAAACCGGUCCAACUGGAGAUUUUGUAAAAAAAGUUUAAAUUUUUUUAAUAUUAUGUUUUAACCCCCUAAAUUGUGAAAACUUAUUAAUAUACCUCAAAUAUUUUAUACUUUAUAAAUAUUGUCCUAAAAUUUGAUGUUAUUUUUCAAUUAAAUCCAUAAUUUUAAUUCUAAACUUGUUAAUGUUUAUUAAAUAAUAUAAAUUGUUACUUGAUUGUUCUAAUUUCUUUGUAUUUUCUUGUUAAAUAUAUUUGAAACAUCAAAUAUAUAUAAAUAUACCUUUAUUAAUAUCAAUAUGUUAUUAGAUAUUUUAUAUACAAUAAUUUAAUUUUUAAAUAAUUUUUAUUUAUGACGUCAUCCGGUUCGACCCCUAUCGACCCCCGGUCGAACCCAUUGACCCCUGACCCCUGACCUCAGCCGAGUCGAUAUCCGGUCCGGUUCUGAAAACAUAGCUAAAUACAUUAGAGAUCCAAGCUGGUUGGAGAAGGAACCCCCAAAGACAGCAUCAUGGUGCUGGAAAAGCAUCCACAGUGCAAGGAAACUACUGCUUGAAGGAUUAUGGAAAAGAAUUGGUGAUGGAACAAAUGUAAACAUUUGGAAGGAUAAGUGGGUAAUGGGAUCAGAAAUGGGUAUAGUGACCACAAAAAGACCUGCAAAUUGUCAUUUAGAAUAUGUAAGUGAUUUGAUAGAGGAUGGCAGAUGGAAAAGGAGACAAUACUGCAACUGUUCUGCGAAAAGAAGGCAGAGCUGAUAGAAAACAUCCCUCUUAGCCUGCACAGAAGGAUGGACAGAUCAUUCUAGAGAUUUUCCAAAACUGGAGUGUAUACCGUCAAAUCUGGAUAUGCAAUGGCUAAAGAGGAGGAAGACCAGCAUAAGAAAACGAAGGGGAUGAAUGCUGAAACUAGUAGGGAGAUUAGGAAGCACAGCGUUUGGAAGAGGCUAUGGGGACUCAACAUAAAGGCAAAAUUGAAGCACUUCAUCUGGAAAUGCCUGCAAAACUGUAUCCUUGUUAUGAGGUGACCUUUAGAAGAAUAGGAAAGCGAGAUGCAAGAUGUGAUUGCUGUGGACAAAAUUUGAAACUAUAGAACAUAUGUUUUUCUUUUGUGCAAAUGCUGAGCUAGUUUGGAAAUUGGCCCCAGUUAAAUGGGGGGACUAAAAGAGCAACAACACUUGUGGAAAUGGUGGGAAAUGGUAAUGCAAGCAAGCUCAAUGGACCAUGGACAAGACAGGAUUAACAUCACAAUCAGCAUAUUAUGGCAAAUCUGGAAAGCUCGGAACAAAAAGGUGUUUGAAAGAAUCAAUCCAAACUCAAACAAAAUUGUGAAGAAGGCACAAGAAGAAUGGAUAGAGUAUGAACUGACAAAGGAAACUGAAAGGGAAGAACCAGGCAAUGCUGCUAUGUCGCAACAACAACAACAAAGCAGGAGAAAAAUAUCAAAGGAAGGAGUGAUCAAGUUGCAUAUUGAUGCAGCAAUAUCUGCAAGAAUGAUAAGAACGAGGCAAGGCAUAAUAGCAAGGAACUGGAUAGGAGAAAUUGUGAAGGCAAAAGGGAUAGUACAUCAAAGAAAGAGUGAAGCCAGCAUGGUGGAAGCACUAGCUAUGAGAAAUGCAUUAGUGAUGGCCAAAGAUGCAGGGUGGACCAAGAUAGAGGUCUACACAGACUGCAAAUCAGUGGUGGAUCAAAUCAACACAUGCAAUGUAAAUAACUACAACAUUGCAACCAUUUUGGAAGAUAUUCAGGAAUUAAGGCAAUGGUUUCAAAGCUGCAGCUUUUCUUUUGUGCAUAGAGCAGAAAAUAGAUGCAGCCAUGAACUAGCUCAAUUUGCAGUACAGUUAGUCCAGGACAUAGAAUAAGAAUGUGAUUUCCCAGUAUUGCUGCUAGAAUUAGCAAGAAAGGAAAUGAGGGCAGUGUCCCCUUUUGUUAUUAAAUUUUGUAAUAUCAAGUUUAAUAUAUAAAAAGCUGUUAAUGUUUGUUGGAAAAAAGAUAGGACCAAAUGCUGUACACUUCUUGCAGAGAAUCAAAUAGUAAACUAUUUUGCUGUCGCUUCACAUAUGCAAAAAUAUAUAUAUACACUAGAGUCAAUGUACAAGAUACACAGGGAUUUGGUCUUUGGUUCUCUUGCGAAUGCCAAGUAACGCCCAUGCAAUAGGGUUGCGAACGAAUCAAGUCAAAUCGAAUUUUGGUCUAAUCAAGUUCAUUCUCGACUUGAUUUUAUCAAACUCGAAUUCGAUCUCGAACUCGACAAGCUCUCAAUAUAAAGUUCGAAUUAGAGAUCGACCUCAAAUUUGAACCGAGUCGAGCUCGAGCUCGAAAUUAAAAAAAUAAAAAAUAAUUAUUUUUUAUUUUUUUUAAAUGGAUAAAAUAGUAAAUUUUCUUAACAAAUAAUAAAAUAUUAGAAAUUUAUAUGUAAUUUCAUUAUUAAAAUAAAAAUAAAUAUGUGUGUGUGUAUGUAUAUAUGUGAUCGAACCGAUUUAUAAGUUGAGUAUCUUUGAACUCAAAUUUAAAUUCGAACUCGACUUGAUCGACUCGAAUUCGGUGUUGACCAGUCGAAUUGAGUUUUAACUCAAACUGCUUCUCGCUCGACUCGUAUGCGGCCCUACUGUGCAAUGGACAAUCCAAGAUCAGGUAAACCAGACUCGACUCAUCUCCACUAUUGAUUUCAAAAUCAGUUGAUUUUAAAAUAACGGAUUCUUUGUGCUUCAAAAAACAGAGGGUUAUCUAAAUGAAAAGAAUAACGGAAGAAGAAAACAGCAAGUAAGUAUUAGAAAUCACAAAAAAUUUUCACAAUGAUACAAAAGUUGAGGAAGGUUAACGUACAUUAUCCUUUUAAUAGUAAAAUUGCAAUUUUACAUAAAGUAUGGAAUCUUGUGUUGCAAUGAUAUUCCAUAUCCGGAUAAAUAAACCGUGCCAUGUCAAAUACACCUCAUGCGAUAUUAUUACUAUUAGGGGAUUUUGAGCACAUCAUUGUGGAGAAAAAAAUGUACAAGUCAUCACUAUCAAAUAUAAGAGCAAAAUACAUGGUAAUCAUGUUGGUUACCUCUACCUAAAUCUGGGCCAACCUAUGAAACUGUCCGUGACGAUCAAAACGUGCAAGUCUUCCUCAAACAAAAAUCUGGAAAUCCUCAUUUCCAGAGUCUUUUUGCUCUUCCUCAAUCUCCCAAACUGAACGUACAGCCGAAUCUGAACAGCCGUGUACAUCAAUCAUUUCAAGAGUUGAAACUUCCCCAAAACAAGAAGGGACUUCUUUCAGUCUCCAGCAUCGAACCAAGACUAGUUUCCGUAGACGCGGGAACUGAUCAGAUGAGCAUUUCCAUCGAAAUAUACGCAACUGUUCCAGUUUCAAGUACUUGAGCCGAGGAAACUCAAAUCCUUCCAUGUCCCAUGUAUCCUGCCGAGAGAUUUCAUGACCUAAUUUGAACACCUCAAGGUUGCAUAGUUUCCCAAUCAUUGGAAUUUCACUCCAAUGGAAAUAUAAGAGACUUAACUUCUUUAGACUGAUCAACGGAAAACGAAACUCAAGAG
RNAcentral lists this long non-coding RNA (37211 nucleotides) under Coffea arabica (coffee). RNAcentral's name for it is "long non-coding RNA (CARA_LNC000691)". The stretch from base 19597 to 19703 matches the Rfam family "Plant small nucleolar RNA R71". The record is from RNAcentral. Lineage: Eukaryota; Viridiplantae; Streptophyta; Magnoliopsida; Gentianales; Rubiaceae.